This 493-nucleotide ribosomal RNA is filed under the name uncultured bacterium. Its description in RNAcentral is "partial 16S ribosomal RNA". It matches the Rfam family "Bacterial small subunit ribosomal RNA", at positions 29 to 507 of the family's 1533-position model. The record is from RNAcentral.
ACGAACGCUGGCGGCGUGCUUAACACAUGCCAGUCGAACGGAAAGGCCUGCCUUCCCUUGUGGAUUGCGGGUGCUCGAGUGGCGAACGGGUGAGUAACACGUGAGUGAUCUGCCCCCAACUUGGGUAUAAGCCUGGGAAACUGGGUCUAAUUCCCGAUAGGACUGCAGGGUGGUGCCUGUGGUGGAAAACGAUUUUCUAGUGGUUGGGGAUGAGCUCGCGGCCUAUCAGCUUGUUGGUGGGGUAAUGGCCUACCAAGGCGGCGACGGGUAGCCGGCCUGAGAGGGUGGACGGCCACAUUGGGACUGAGAUACGGCCCAGACUCCUACGGGAGGCAGCAGUGGGGAAUAUUGCACAAUGGGCGGAAGCCUGAUGCAGCGACGCCGCGUGGGGGAUGACGGCCUUCGGGUUGUAAACUCCUUUCGACCGCGAGGAAGCCACCUGGUUGGAAGGGUGGUGACGGUAGUGGUAGAAGAAGCACCGGCUAACUACGUG